This 522-nucleotide ribosomal RNA is filed under the name Bifidobacterium breve. RNAcentral's name for it is "bacterial SSU rRNA". It matches the Rfam family "Bacterial small subunit ribosomal RNA", at positions 165 to 697 of the family's 1533-position model. The record is from RNAcentral. Lineage: Bacteria; Bacillati; Actinomycetota; Actinomycetes; Bifidobacteriales; Bifidobacteriaceae.
AAUGCCGGAUGCUCCAGUUGAUCGCAUGGUCUUCUGGGAAAGCCUUUGCGGCAUGGGAUGGGGUCGCGUCCUAUCAGCUUGAUGGCGGGGUAACGGCCCACCAUGGCUUCGACGGGUAGCCGGCCUGAGAGGGCGACCGGCCACAUUGGGACUGAGAUACGGCCCAGACUCCUACGGGAGGCAGCAGUGGGGAAUAUUGCACAAUGGGCGCAAGCCUGAUGCAGCGACGCCGCGUGAGGGAUGGAGGCCUUCGGGUUGUAAACCUCUUUUGUUAGGGAGCAAGGCAUUUUGUGUUGAGUGUACCUUUCGAAUAAGCACCGGCUAACUACGUGCCAGCAGCCGCGGUAAUACGUAGGGUGCAAGCGUUAUCCGGAAUUAUUGGGCGUAAAGGGCUCGUAGGCGGUUCGUCGCGUCCGGUGUGAAAGUCCAUCGCUUAACGGUGGAUCCGCGCCGGGUACGGGCGGGCUUGAGUGCGGUAGGGGAGACUGGAAUUCCCGGUGUAACGGUGGAAUGUGUAGAUAU